UACGUAGGGGGCAAGCGUUGUCCGGAAUUAUUGGGCGUAAAGCGCGCGCAGGCGGUUUUUUAAGUCUGGUGUUUAAGCCCGGGGCUCAACCCCGGUUCGCAUCGGAAACUGGAAGACUUGAGUGCAGGAGAGGAAAGUGGAAUUCCACGUGUAGCGGUGAAAUGCGUAGAGAUGUGGAGGAACACCAGCGGCGAAGGCGACUUUCUGGACUGUAACUGACGCUGAGGCGCGAAAGCGUGGGGAGCAAACAGG
This 252-nucleotide ribosomal RNA is filed under the name uncultured bacterium. Its description in RNAcentral is "partial 16S ribosomal RNA". It matches the Rfam family "Bacterial small subunit ribosomal RNA", at positions 524 to 776 of the family's 1533-position model. The record is from RNAcentral.